Molecule: long non-coding RNA, 2842 nt
Filed under: Marmota monax (woodchuck)
Lineage: Eukaryota; Metazoa; Chordata; Mammalia; Rodentia; Sciuridae
Source: RNAcentral
ACGUGAAUUAGCAAAGAUCGCUUCCACGCUCAGUGCUUCACAAUGCAUGCCUUUAUUUGGCUACAUAUUUUCCAAUGUAACUCCAUUUAAAAAUUAGGAGUAUGAGUAAUACUCCUUUAUUAUUUCUAAACGCCAAUCCACAUUCAGAUUUCCCAAGCUGUUCGCAACGUCUCUGGAAGCUAUUACUUUUUCCGGUGAGGAUUUGACUGAGGACUACGCGACAUAUUUUGCGGUAAACUUGGCCGUAAACUUCACGCGGGCGGUGAGACAGGCAAGGGCACCUUCCAACCCUCGGAUGAAAAACAGGGACCUCGAGGCCAGGACCUCAGCGCCCCGCCCCAGGACGUCAGCCUGGCCCCUCCUGGCGCGCGAUUGCGCCCUGGGAACGCGCCCUGGGCUCAUCUGCGUAGGUGCGGGCGGACCUCGGCGCUCUGGCUCCUGAGCCCUGUGGUGGGGAUUCGUGCGUGGGUCGAGCUGUGGGAAGUUUCUUCCCGGCCUGGCAACUUCCAGAGGAAAGAGGGCUGAGACCCCGAGGGCGCGAGCGGAGGGCCAAGGGGGUCUCUCCAAGCGGCAUCGGAGCAGGCGAUCGGUGCGGACCGUGAGCCUGGCGGACGGGGGAAAGCCGUGGCCGCCCCGGGAGGGGACGCCCCCAACUACCAGAUCGCGGUGCGGCGAUCCGCGGGCGCGGGGUCUGCUUCUGCGCGAGGCGGGGUAGAACUUGAGGCUUUUCGUAAUGACUGCUUGGUGUAUUUUGCAACCCUGGUGAGUCAUCAUCUGUAAAGCAGACCGCCCCGGGCAGGUUACUGAGCCCGGAGAGACAACUGCUGUUAUGUUUAGAAGUUGCUUUGUUCUUUUCACGAGAUGACUCGGUAAACCUCACAUCCUUCUGAGGUUGGCAUAACCAUCUGCAUUAAAAAUAACAACCGAGGCUCAGGACGCGCCCUGGGUCACGAGCUAGCAGUGAGAGAGCUCUGAUUCAAGGGCAGGUGUGAUUUCCUUCCGGUCCUAGGCACUAACAUCACACCUGCCUAAAAACCAGUGCUGCGGCCUCUUUUCCCAAAUACAGAGAAGAUACAAUGGGAAGUGACUGCAGAUGAAACCUCACUGUGUGUCACGUGUUUGGGCUCCUAGCCCUCAGGCACUGGCAGGCCCUCUGUAUUUGUGGCCCUAAAAUUAAGUUUCCAGCUCCUGGGAAAACAAUUUUAUCUUAGAGCAUUCAGCUCCGGUGAAGUAGGAAGCAGGGGUACCUCGAGGAAUAGAAAUCUGACCUGAAAAGAGAGCACCCCUCUGACCUUAGACUUCCCUGCCUGGUUUCCUGGCAGAGGCAGGAAAGCCCAGGCUGGAGCAGGUCUGUAAAACGGAAGCAGUUCUUGAUCUCCCUGCCCAGAAUGAGCAAGAUACGGUGAUGCAGUUAUCUCCAGAAGCUACCAGAGAUUCUGGCAGCAGAAUGUUCGGAGCAGUUUUGAGAAGUACAAAGUGUACUAGGGAGGCUCAGGGGCAGGCUGCCAAGGAAGGGCUGUUCCAUUGCAGAACUUUCCAGAGUGAGGUCAGGCACAAGGGUCACCAGGCAGAGGAUGUCUCCAUUAUCCCAAGACAGCCCCCAGGGCCUUCAUUCUCCAUUCUUUACAAAUGCUGUGUUGUUACACAGUCUCCCUCGCCACCUUGAUACUGGUCAUGCUAUCCUGAAUAUCCUGACUUCAGGGGAUCCCACAGUGAUGGUUCACAAAGGGUUUCCACAAGGUCAUUGCUCUGACUCAUUUCAGACUUUUACAAAAUUGGACCAGAGAGCACCAGCAUAUUGCCCAGAGCCACAUAGAUUGUGACAGAAACAGAUCUAGGAGUCAAAGCGCCAUUCAGUUUGACACAGGUUUGUGUUGUUCAUGUUUUAGUAAUUCAUUUUUAAAAAAUAAGCAGUGAUAUAAUAUGGAUAAUCCACAAUUUAUUUAUCCAUUUCCUAGUCAAUGUAUAUUUGAUGAUCUCUGUUAGGAUGGCCUUAGGUCUGAGCCUAAACAACUCCAUUUUAACUUCAUUUUAAAAGACCUGCAGUUUCACCAGGCACGUCCACAGAUCCCUCCAGUAUGGCCUCAAACAAGUUACUUCCCCUCACCCUGAUAAAAGAGAGUGAAGCCCCUGGCAGGCUGUCCUUGCCUGAUAAGAGGGAAAGGCGAGAAGAUCAGAGUGGAGACCACCAGGCCAGGUGUUUCUGGUCUCAGGGUAAAUGAUGUCACUGAGAAAUCCGGUGGUAGCUGUUAAGAAUUGAAACAGGGGGAGGGUCAAGAGCCCCAAAAUUUAGUAUAAAUGAUAGAGCAAAUGAACAGGGAUUCAGCAGCUGAAACAAGAAUGCACACCAGCUGGAGAGCCUGAUGAGGACCUGACAUCCCAACACUUGUCAUUGUUCCUGAGCCUCUGCGUGAUCCUCGCCGCUCUCAAACUCUACCGCCUUGUCUGGACCUUGGUGAGAGCCAACUCCUCCCUAUGACCCCCUCCUCAACCGGCUUUCCACUCCACACCAGGAAAAGCCUGCCUUGGUUCCGGACUUGAUCACCACAGUCUGAGUGAGUGUGCAUCUGCUGGACUCAAAGCCUAAGACUUAAGACCUUUGAACUUAGCACACAGAGGGAAUGUCUGUCAUGAUUAAGUGUUUUGCAGUGCUUAGAAUUAAUCUAGAAUUGUUUGCUGUGAAUUAAUUAAUCUAGAAUAUUUGCUGUGAAUUGAUUUUGUCUAUUGCAGUGCCUACCAUUAAGGAUUGUCGUUUUCUUGAUUAAGAGCCUAUAGAGUAAAUCUGUAUUGAGUAAUUUGAGUGAAUAAAGCAUUGAAAAGGGGCAGAAGCGCAUGGACAUUA